Molecule: ribosomal RNA, 557 nt
Filed under: uncultured bacterium
Lineage: Bacteria
Description: bacterial SSU rRNA
Rfam family: Bacterial small subunit ribosomal RNA
Source: RNAcentral
UAGUCUGAGGCACUCUGAUCAGCAUGCCGCGUGCUAGUGGAAGACAGGCCCUUAUUGGGUUUGUAAAAGCUGUUUUUGCACGGAAGAAAACCCUUUCCGAGUACUAGGUUGAUAUGACCGUAACAAUAAAAUCGGCUACGUUCAUGCCUGCGCCCGCGGCAAGACAAAUGAUGAGGCGUUAUCCGGAUUCAUUAUUUUUUGGGGGAGCGUAGGUGGACUUGUUUUUUUUGGCGAAUCUCUCCCCUUGAUGAAACUUGCCAUUGAUACUGCACGUCUUGAGUACAGAUGAUGUGGGCGGAAUAUGACUCGUAGUGGUGAAAUACUUAGAUAUGUCAUAUAACACCGAUUGCGAAGGCAGCUCACACACCUGUAACUGACACUGAGGCUCGAAAGUGCGGGGAUCAAACAGGAUUAGAUACCCUGGUCCUCCGCACCGUAAACGAUGAUUACUCGUUGUUAGCGAUAUGACCCUUAGCGACCAUACGGAAGCGAUAAGUAAUCCACCUGGACCGUACGCCGACAACGGUCAAACUAAUAGAAUUUGACGGGAUUGGCGG